This 452-nucleotide ribosomal RNA is filed under the name Hippomenella vellicata. RNAcentral describes it as "partial 16S ribosomal RNA". It matches the Rfam family "Bacterial large subunit ribosomal RNA", at positions 1812 to 2598 of the family's 2925-position model. Lineage: Eukaryota; Metazoa; Bryozoa; Gymnolaemata; Cheilostomatida; Escharinidae. The record is from RNAcentral.
AACAUAGCUCCUGGUAGUUUUAUGGAGUUUUACCUGCCCGGUGUAAUAUUAUUAACGGCCGCGAAAGUGCUAAGGUAGCAUAAUAAUUUGUCUUUUCAUUGGAGACUAGUAUGAAAGGAAUAACGAAGCCCAGCUGUCUCUUCCUAAAUUUAAAAAUUUAUAAAAAAGUGAAAAAGCUUUUAUUUUAAUGAAGGACGAAAAGACCCUAUAGAGUUUUAGUAAAGUGAAAAAUUUAUUUUUUUAAAUACUUUUAUUGGGGCAAUAAUAGAUACUUAAAGUCUAUUGUGGGUAAGACCUAAAAUAGAAUUAAGAUAAACUACCUUAGGGAUAACAGCGUAAUCUCGCCAGAGAGAUCUUAUCGAAGGCGAGGUUUGCGACCUCGAUGUUGGACUAAGGGAACUUUUAUAUGUAGAAGUAUAGAGAUGUAAGCCUGUUCGGCUUUUAAAACCUUA